AGACUAUUUCUUCUAAUGAGGACAAGCAAUUUGAGGCCUUUGAAUCCUUCUUGCUAUUGAUAUGGAAUCCAGAGAAGAGCAGCAGCCACAAGAGCUGACCUCCAGCUGCCACCUGGACUGUCACCAAUUCUCUUAAAUGGAAGUCUCCAGGCUGCCAAUGCCAUAGCUCACUGGAAUUGGAACACAUCAGAGGAUGAAUGGCUGUGUAGUCUAACAAUAGCCACCUGCAAACUGAAGAGGCUGAGAACUCAGGAGCUAAUCAUUUACAAGGAUGGAUGCUGCCACAGUCCCAAUCUGAUUCUGAAGGCCUGGGGAGUUUCAGGAGAGCUGGUGGUCUUUAGUUCACAAUGGGAGGGAGGAAGCAAGAAGUGGAAUACUGUGUCAGUGGAAAAUGGCAUCAGGAGAUGCGCAUGACCAUCAAUGUUCAUAAACAUCUGUGACUGCAUAAAUGAUGAGUCCUCUUAUGUGGAUGGUACACAUGAACACUGGAACAAGACUGGUAUAGAUUUAUUUAUAAUGUUCUCCCUUCUGACAUUUAUGCUUUAGAUUAUUUAUAUAAAAUAUCAGAUCUACAAAAUAUUCUAAUCUACAGCUGGAUGUCAUAUAGUCAAAAAUAUAAAACAAGCAUUAUAGGAGCAAGUUAAUAAAAAAUUUAAACAUGA
Long non-coding RNA from Peromyscus eremicus (cactus mouse), 662 nucleotides. RefSeq lists it as uncharacterized. NCBI's taxonomy places the organism in Eukaryota, Metazoa, Chordata, Mammalia, Rodentia, Cricetidae. The transcript is spliced from 4 exons. The record is from RefSeq and is a predicted model, not a curated record.